AAGUAGGCCCGCGUUAGGGAUUGUAGCGGCAUCCUUUUUAAAACUUGCUUAGGAAAAACACCUGGGUAUUAUAAAUAUAACGACAAAAGAUUUCCGUUUUAAGAAGCUAUUUGCUUGUUUUAAAAAGAUAUAGCGGAAAGCACGACCCGCA
This 151-nucleotide small RNA is filed under the name Oceanihabitans sediminis. RNAcentral's name for it is "Flavo-1 RNA". It matches the Rfam family "Flavo-1 RNA". The record is from Rfam by way of RNAcentral. Lineage: Bacteria; Pseudomonadati; Bacteroidota; Flavobacteriia; Flavobacteriales; Flavobacteriaceae.